RNAcentral lists this long non-coding RNA (402 nucleotides) under Prunus persica (peach). Its description in RNAcentral is "long non-coding RNA (PPER_LNC004808)". Lineage: Eukaryota; Viridiplantae; Streptophyta; Magnoliopsida; Rosales; Rosaceae. The record is from RNAcentral.
AGAUGUUGAACCUUAUAUCGUUGGAAAGACACGGAUGUUAGCUUUCUGUAGAAUUUUACGGUUCGUGAUUCGGACGUGUGUGGAGAGAGUUGUGGCCGUUUUAGUACAGACAGUUUGGGCAGAAUGUGUUCUGCGGGAUUUGCAAAAUAAUCCUUUUGAAGUCCAAUCCUUGGAGUUUAAUUUGUGUCAAUUACAUUUGGGAAGUGUCUACAAGGAUGUGGAGUUAUUUUCUGAAGUCUGAUCCUAUAUUUAGUAGGAUUUUGGAUGCCAACUCAUCAAAGACAAUUGAAGCCAAACUUGGAAAGCAUAGUUACCAAGUCAAAAGAGGAUUUGUUCCUUAUUUAAAGAAGACCAGAAAAUAGGGUUCUCUUAUGCUGGAAUUCGAAGGAGAGUCAAAGAGCC